ACGAAUGCUGGCGGCGUGCCUAAUACAUGCAAGUUGAGCGCUGAAGGUUGGUACUUGUACCAACUGGAUGAGCAGCGAACGGGUGAGUAACGCGUGGGGAAUCUGCCUUUGAGCGGGGGACAACAUUUGGAAACGAAUGCUAAUACCGCAUAAAAACUUUAAACACAAGUUUUAAGUUUGAAAGAUGCAAUUGCAUCACUCAAAGAUGAUCCCGCGUUGUAUUAGCUAGUUGGUGAGGUAAAGGCUCACCAAGGCGAUGAUACAUAGCCGACCUGAGAGGGUGAUCGGCCACAUUGGGACUGAGACACGGCCCAAACUCCUACGGGAGGCAGCAGUAGGGAAUCUUCGGCAAUGGACGAAAGUCUGACCGAGCAACGCCGCGUGAGUGAAGAAGGUUUUCGGAUCGUAAAACUCUGUUGGUAGAGAAGAACGUUGGUGAGAGUGGAAAGCUCAUCAAGUGACGGUAACUACCCAGAAAGGGACGGCUAACUACGUG
Molecule: ribosomal RNA, 496 nt
Filed under: uncultured bacterium
Lineage: Bacteria
Description: partial 16S ribosomal RNA
Rfam family: Bacterial small subunit ribosomal RNA
Source: RNAcentral